This 584-nucleotide long non-coding RNA is filed under the name Androctonus crassicauda. Lineage: Eukaryota; Metazoa; Arthropoda; Arachnida; Scorpiones; Buthidae. The record is from RNAcentral.
UAAUUAAUGUUUAUUUUUUAUUUUUUUUUGAUACUUCAUAUUUAUUAAAAAAUUUAUAUGCUCAUGAACUUGUUAAGCAGAAACUUGUAAACCAAGAAUUUUCUAUACAAUAAAGAAGAAAUAAGUAUUUUUAUAAAUAAAUGUGAAGCAUGCAGUUGUUACUAUAGGGCAUACUACUAUGCAAAAAAGGAUGCAACAAAAUAACUUUAUAUAUUUUUGAUCAUAUUUGUGCAAUAUCCAAUAUUUAAAUAUCUACAAACAUAUUAAAUUAUGUAACAAAAAUCAUCAUCUUACUGAUUUCUUUUGAUUUUUUUUUUUGUUAAAAUAUGUCCAUAUAUUUUAACAAAAAUAAAUCAAAAGGAAUCAGUAAGAUGAUGAUCUUUGUUAUGGCAGAUUGCACAGGUGGGAUGAAAGUACAACAGGAAUAUGGUGCAACUGAGUUCGUAAAUCUUAUCAAAAAAAUAAAAAAAAAAUGUUUAAUUUUAGAUUAUCCUAUGUAUAAGCCAACUCGUCAAAAUUUUUUUGGAAAAAAUUCCUCAGCUUAUACAUGAGUAUGUAUGGAAAAUAAUAUUUCUAUUGAUCUG